RNAcentral lists this ribosomal RNA (404 nucleotides) under uncultured bacterium. Its description in RNAcentral is "bacterial SSU rRNA". It matches the Rfam family "Bacterial small subunit ribosomal RNA", at positions 357 to 775 of the family's 1533-position model. The record is from RNAcentral.
GGGAAUAUUGGACAAUGGAGGAAACUCUGAUCCAGUGACGCCGCGUGAAGGAAGAAGGUCUUCGGAUUGUAAACUUAUUUUGUCAGGGAAGAAAAAAAUGACUGUACCUGAAGAAAAAGCCCCGGCUAACUACGUGCCAGCAGCCGCGGUAAUACGUAGGGGGCAAGCGUUAUCCGGAUUUACUGGGUGUAAAGGGAGCGUAGACGGUUAUGCAAGUCUGGAGUGAAAGCCCGGGGCUCAACCCCGGGACUGCUUUGGAAACUGUAAAACUGGAGUGCAGGAGAGGCAGGCGGAAUUCCUAGUGUAGCGGUGAAAUGCGUAGAUAUUAGGAGGAACACCAGUGGCGAAGGCGGCCUGCUGGACUGUAACUGACGUUGAGGCUCGAAGGCGUGGGGAGCAAACAG